RNAcentral lists this long non-coding RNA (1192 nucleotides) under Betta splendens (Siamese fighting fish). RNAcentral describes it as "lncRNA (ENSBSLG00000018856.1)". The record is from RNAcentral. Lineage: Eukaryota; Metazoa; Chordata; Actinopteri; Anabantiformes; Osphronemidae.
UUCUCAAAGCUCUUUGGGUUUUCAGGAACACGUUUUCCGUGUCUUACACUAAUCGUUGAGCUGUGUUUGGAUCAAGACUCACAGGAGUGUAGGACAUCAUGUCCUUCACCUUGUUCCAGAUGUUGAAGGUCAGGUGGCCCAGGUGUUCUGUCACCUCGAUCAAUCUCUCCAAGCUCAUGGCACAAGCACCCACACUGCUGCUGGACCCGUGUCCACUGCACCUUUGUAUUUCUGAAAGAAACAAUAUAAAAUGUGUGCCAAGCUGCUCCAAUGUGACAUAAACAGUGUCUGAAAGAGACCUCUUUCUCCUCAGAUCUUCAAGACAUCUGAGUCUUUUCUUCCUCUUCCUCCCUCAGUCCUAAUUCUUGGAGAAACUGAUGAAAUCUCUUAAACUCCUCCCUUAUCUGUCUUAGUGUUUUGAAACUGGAAUCUAAUGUGAUCUGCUGUUAGAUCAAAGUUAACGUCACUGAAACCUUUACCUUCAGGGCUUUGCAGAGCUUCCUCCUUCGAUGGGACCGAACCUGUGGUCACUGUGUGUCUCUUCAUCUCUCCAGGCCACAGAUCAUGUGCUGUUGGUCCAGACAGAAGAGCCUCAGUGAGAUCCCAGGGAGGUUCUCGGGUCUCUGGUGGUGUCGCUCCCUCUGGUACAAUGAUACUGACUCAGGUGCUGUUGUCAUAGUCAGCGUUCCAGAUAUCCCAGGACCCAGAUUCCUUAGGAGGAUAAUGUUUUCCUCGACAGGAGCGAUGGGCAAACACCAGAACCUUUCCCGCGUCUGCCGCAGUCCUGACCCCAGCGCCUGCUCCCUGCUGUGGCUGUCGGAGCUUUUCUUCUUUAACCACAAAACCUCUCCAGAAGUUACUGUGGAGCGCUAAGCCUGGCUCAAAUCCUCGCAUGGCAUUUAGCGAGUGUGUGCCAGCACCAGGCUUCCUGCCAGGCACUGGACCCAUGCUACUGUACAGGGAGGGGUCCACUAUUAUGACAAUAUAGCAGUGAUCUGAGCCAAAGGUUCCCUGGCAGAGCUCCACGCUGGCACCUGCAGCACAGGCCUCACACAGUUCUGAAGAAUGGACCGGCACCGGCACCGGUGCUGGCAGGGCCGUCUUCACAACAAUUGGGCUUUUGACACUCAGCACAUCCCAAAUGUAGAGGAUCAGUUCUGGCACCGACAGCGAUGAAAGAGACCAAAUCACC